Molecule: long non-coding RNA, 342 nt
Organism: Galeopterus variegatus (Sunda flying lemur)
Lineage: Eukaryota; Metazoa; Chordata; Mammalia; Dermoptera; Cynocephalidae
Exons: 2
Source: RefSeq, a predicted model, not a curated record
CAUUAGGGGCAGUUCCUCUCUAUUCUAAGCUUGUAUUCCUCUUGAGUUUUAGGAUGAACACUCUGGAAAAUGGUCACUGUCCCAUGGUGAAACCGCUGAACUCUGUGGUUCUCUAAAGCAUCCCUCUGCAGCACCAUGAAGGAGUCCGCCCAGUAGACAAUGAGAAGACACCGAUGUACUCCAGGCCAUCUGAAUAUCCGGCUCUUUGUACUUGCAUGACACAAAACACAGGAGCCAGGAGCAAAUAAACCACAAUCUAUGUGCAUGAAAAUACUCCAAACAGCUGGGGUGUCAGUCCCCAUAAUAAUAAAAGCUUGAGCUCCUGGGAAUUCUUUACUUGGA